Molecule: ribosomal RNA, 506 nt
Filed under: uncultured bacterium
Lineage: Bacteria
Description: partial 16S ribosomal RNA
Rfam family: Bacterial small subunit ribosomal RNA
Source: RNAcentral
AGUGAACGCUGGCGGUAGGCCUAACACAUGCAAGUCGAACGGCAGCACAGGAGAGCUUGCUCUCUGGGUGGCGAGUGGCGGACGGGUGAGGAAUACAUCGGAAUCUACUUUUUCGUGGGGGAUAACGUAGGGAAACUUACGCUAAUACCGCAUACGACCUACGGGUGAAAGCAGGGGACCUUCGGGCCUUGCGCGAUUGAAUGAGCCGAUGUCGGAUUAGCUAGUUGGCGGGGUAAAGGCCCACCAAGGCGACGAUCCGUAGCUGGUCUGCGAGGAUGAUCAGCCACACUGGAACUGAGACACGGUCCAGACUCCUACGGGAGGCAGCAGUGGGGAAUAUUGGACAAUGGGCGCAAGCCUGAUCCAGCCAUACCGCGUGGGUGAAGAAGGCCUUCGGGUUGUAAAGCCCUUUUGUGGGGAAAGAAAUCCAGCUGGCUAAUACCCGGUUGGGAUGACGGUACCCAAAGAAUAAGCACCGGCUAACUUCGUGCCAGCAGCCGCCGUAA